This is a long non-coding RNA of Fukomys damarensis (Damara mole-rat), 884 nucleotides long. RefSeq lists it as uncharacterized. The record is from RefSeq and is a predicted model, not a curated record. The transcript has 4 exons. NCBI's taxonomy places the organism in Eukaryota, Metazoa, Chordata, Mammalia, Rodentia, Bathyergidae.
GAGGGGACAGUGGUCCGUGCCUGGCCGGCAUCUGAGAGCAGAGCUCGUGUCGGCUGUGCGUACCUGCGACCCAGCCUUCCAGUGUGCGCACCGGCGUCCGCCGCGGGCCAGCACCCUCCGUGCUCCCGGGCGGGGAACAGCGAGGGGCACCACCGAGCACGGGCCUGCUGCGUGCUCAGGUUGUUGCCAGCGGUCGGGCCCGUAACGCCAAAGAGGGCUUUGAGCUUUACGCGUUUGGGAACUGCUCAGGGCCGAACUGCGUUCUGAGUUCAACGGGAGCUUCGCUGUCCUGCUCGGCGCCUGUCAGCGCUGGGAACGGACUGGAAUUUAAAUUCCUUGGAAUUCCCAGAAUAAAAGAAGCGUCACUAAGCUACCAUGUACUUAGUUCCCUUUGAGAGCUCAGUCCUAGCUGUGAUUAGAAGAUACGCAACGAGGCCCCAGCGCGGUGAGCGGCAGACCCAAGAGAAGUAGACUAGAUCACCAUGGUAUGAAGGUGUAUCUAAGCUCUUCCUGCAGAACCCAGUGCUUUCCUGUUGACUGCCUGAGCCCUGUCCACAGAGGGAAUGAAAAGGCCCCUCAGGUGCCUGCUGAAGACUCCUGGGCCCACAGGAAGCCUCUUGGUGAUGUUCUCCUGGGAGAUCAGGGGUGGUCAUGGGCAGCAGCCAGGAUGGAGACCUCCCUCAUCCUGAGGCAUCUCCUGGCAACCCCUCUGACCCUUUGGGCUCAGAAAAGGAAGCGGGUUCCUGAGCUGUUUACAUGCUCAUUUCUUAAAAUCACUGUUGUCAUCAAGUUAUAAACAAGAUUUAUAACUAGUGUCAGUCUGGAGCUCAGACAGCUUGAGUGGUUCCCUGCCCUGACAUGCAAGACACACACUGGCAGGUCAG